CUCUAUUAGAGUUAUAAUCAAACUUUGUAUAUAAAAUUUAUAGAAUUCCAAGAAUUUGAAAAGGAAAAGUAAAUUACUUACCUUUAAGGUAUACCAGAUCUAUUUUCAAUGUUUUCUCCUUUCUUUCUUUCCUUUCUUUCUUUCUCUUUUCAAUCUUUUUCGUUCUUUCUCCUUUGUCUCAUUGUUCUGUUUCCGUUUCUUUUCCUUUUUCCGUUUGUCCCUUUUUUUUUUUCUUUCUUUUUCUUUUCCUUCUUUAUUCAUUCUUUCUUUGAAGCAAAACC
This 281-nucleotide long non-coding RNA is filed under the name Nicotiana benthamiana. RNAcentral's name for it is "long non-coding RNA (NBEN_LNC035682)". The record is from RNAcentral. Lineage: Eukaryota; Viridiplantae; Streptophyta; Magnoliopsida; Solanales; Solanaceae.